CUUUUCUUUCACAUCACAUAACAGGGACUUCUUGCAAGGAGAUGCACUUUCUCUGUCUUCCUGCUUAGUUGUUUCUGAUACAGUUUUCCCAGAUGAUCGAUUAUGAGCUGCAGAUUUUGUGCCUAUGUGACCAGGGCUCGGGCAUUUUCUGUCAUUGAUUAUAGGAGAGGGGGAUCUUUCCCUUGCUUCCACUCUUCUGUUUCUGGGGACAGGAUUGGCUGCAGGUAACUCCCCGCUGAGCCGAUCGGGUAGGAGGCUUUCUUUGUUCAAGUUCAUCUCGGAGUAUGGGCAGCUGACUGCACUAUGAUGGCCAAUAUGUCUUGCUCUUUUAACAUGUCCAACUCCUUUACAUCCUGCCGUGGGACAUCCUCCAUGCUCCAAGGCUU
This 386-nucleotide long non-coding RNA is filed under the name Gallus gallus (chicken). Lineage: Eukaryota; Metazoa; Chordata; Aves; Galliformes; Phasianidae. The record is from RNAcentral.